RNAcentral lists this ribosomal RNA (583 nucleotides) under uncultured bacterium. RNAcentral's name for it is "partial 16S ribosomal RNA". It matches the Rfam family "Bacterial small subunit ribosomal RNA", at positions 355 to 935 of the family's 1533-position model. The record is from RNAcentral.
UGGGGAAUUUUGGACAAUGGGCGCAAGCCUGAUCCAGCCAUGCCGCGUGCGGGAAGAAGGCCUUCGGGUUGUAAACCGCUUUUGUCAGGGAAGAAAUCUUCUGAGUUAAUACCUCGGGAGGAUGACGGUACCUGAAGAAUAAGCACCGGCUAACUACGUGCCAGCAGCCGCGGUAAUACGUAGGGUGCAAGCGUUAAUCGGAAUUACUGGGCGUAAAGCGUGCGCAGGCGGUUUUGUAAGACAGAGGUGAAAUCCCCGGGCUCAACCUGGGAACUGCCUUUGUGACUGCAAGGCUUGAGUGCGGCAGAGGGGGCAUGGAAUUCCGCGUGUAGCAGUGAAAUUGCGUAGAUAUGCGGAGGAACACCGAUGGCGAAGGCAAUCCCCUGGGCCUGCACUGACGCUCAUGCACGAAAGCGUGGGGAGCAAACAGGAUUAGAUACCCUGGUAGUCCACGCCCUAAACGAUGUCAACUGGUUGUUGGGAAGGUUCCUUCUCAGUAACGUAGCUAACGCGUGAANUUGACCGCCUGGGGAGUACGGCCGCAAGGUUGAAACUAAAUGAAUUGACGGGGUCAUAGCUGUUU